Molecule: ribosomal RNA, 662 nt
Filed under: uncultured fungus
Lineage: Eukaryota; Fungi
Description: eukaryotic LSU rRNA
Rfam family: 5.8S ribosomal RNA (bases 302-456)
Source: RNAcentral
AAGUCGUAACAAGGUUUCCGUAGGUAUGUAUUUAUCGAAACCCCCCCCCCCAAAAACCACGACAGUUAACUAACAUGUUUAAUAGGUGAACCUGCGGAAGGAUCAUUACUGAGUUAGGGUCUCCAAGGCCCGAACCUCCCAACCCUUGUGUUUAACUAUACCACGUUGCUUCGGCGGGCCCGCUCCUCCGGGAGCCGCCGGGCCUCUUAACUGAGGUCUGGUCCGCGCUCGUCGAUAGCCCCUUUACCAAACUCUUGAAUAAACCGUGUCGUCUGAGUUCAAAAUAUUUAAUUAUAAAUAAAACUUUCAACAACGGAUCUCUUGGUUCUGGCAUCGAUGAAGAACGCAGCGAAAUGCGAUAAGUAAUGCGAAUUGCAGAAUUUCAGUGAGUCAUCGAAUCUUUGAACGCACAUUGCGCCCCUUGGUAUUCCGGGGGGCAUGCCUGUUCGAGCGUCAUUAUCAACCCUCAAGCCCGGCUUGGUGUUGGACGGUCGGCCGCCUCGCGGUGGCCCCUCCCAAAGACAAUGACGGCGUCUGUUGGACCCUCGGUGCAAUGAGCUUCCGGGCACGCACUCGAGUCAAAGGACCUUCAGGCCCGGUCACCUAUAAAUUUAUUUUACCAGGUUGACCUCGGAUCAGGUAGGAAUACCCGCUGAACUUAA